UACGGGGGGAGCAAGCGUUGUUCGGAUUUACUGGGCGUAAAGGGCGCGUAGGCGGCGUGACAAGUCACUUGUGAAAUCUCCGGGCUUAACCCGGAGCGGCCAAGUGAUACUGUCGUGCUAGAGUGCGGAAGGGGCUACUGGAAUUCUCGGUGUAGCGGUGAAAUGCGUAGAUAUCGAGAGGAACACCUGCGGCGAAGGCGGGUAGCUGGGCCGACACUGACGCUGAGGCGCGAAAGCCAGGGGAGCAAACGGG
This 253-nucleotide ribosomal RNA is filed under the name uncultured bacterium. RNAcentral describes it as "partial 16S ribosomal RNA". It matches the Rfam family "Bacterial small subunit ribosomal RNA", at positions 524 to 776 of the family's 1533-position model. The record is from RNAcentral.